Molecule: ribosomal RNA, 620 nt
Filed under: uncultured Delftia sp.
Lineage: Bacteria; Pseudomonadati; Pseudomonadota; Betaproteobacteria; Burkholderiales; Comamonadaceae
Description: bacterial SSU rRNA
Rfam family: Bacterial small subunit ribosomal RNA
Source: RNAcentral
GCAGUCGAACGGUAACAGGUCUUCGGACGCUGACGAGUGGCGAACGGGUGAGUAAUACAUCGGAACGUGCCCAGUCGUGGGGGAUAACUACUCGAAAGAGUAGCUAAUACCGCAUACGAUCUGAGGAUGAAAGCGGGGGACCUUCGGGCCUCGCGCGAUUGGAGCGGCCGAUGGCAGAUUAGGUAGUUGGUGGGAUAAAAGCUUACCAAGCCGACGAUCUGUAGCUGGUCUGAGAGGACGACCAGCCACACUGGGACUGAGACACGGCCCAGACUCCUACGGGAGGCAGCAGUGGGGAAUUUUGGACAAUGGGCGAAAGCCUGAUCCAGCAAUGCCGCGUGCAGGAUGAAGGCCUUCGGGUUGUAAACUGCUUUUGUACGGAACGAAAAAGCUUCUCCUAAUACGAGAGGCCCAUGACGGUACCGUAAGAAUAAGCACCGGCUAACUACGUGCCAGCAGCCGCGGUAAUACGUAGGGUGCGAGCGUUAAUCGGAAUUACUGGGCGUAAAGCGUGCGCAGGCGGUUAUGUAAGACAGAUGUGAAAUCCCCGGGCUCAACCUGGGAACUGCAUUUGUGACUGCAUGGCUAGAGUACGGUAGAGGGGGAUGGAAUUCCGCGUG